ACACUCCUACGGGAGGCAGCAGCGGGGAAUUUUGGACAAUGGGCGAAAGCCUGAUCCAGCCAUGCCGCGUGCAGGAUGAAGGCCUUCGGGUUGUAAACUGCUUUUGUACGGAACGAAACGGCCUUUUCUAAUAAAGAGGGCUAAUGACGGUACCGUAAGAAUAAGCACCGGCUAACUACGUGCCAGCAGCCGCGGUAAUACGUAGGGUGCAAGCGUUAAUCGGAAUUACUGGGCGUAAAGCGUGCGCAGGCGGUUAUGUAAGACAGUUGUGAAAUCCCCGGGCUCAACCUGGGAACUGCAUCUGUGACUGCAUAGCUAGAGUACGGUAGAGGGGGAUGGAAUUCCGCGUGUAGCAGUGAAAUGCGUAGAUAUGCGGAGGAACACCGAUGGCGAAGGCAAUCCCCUGGACCUGUACUGACGCUCAUGCACGAAAGCGUGGGGAGCAAACAGGAUUAGAUACCCCAGUAGUCCCAUG
Molecule: ribosomal RNA, 475 nt
Filed under: uncultured organism
Description: partial 16S ribosomal RNA
Rfam family: Bacterial small subunit ribosomal RNA
Source: RNAcentral